RNAcentral lists this ribosomal RNA (462 nucleotides) under uncultured bacterium. RNAcentral describes it as "partial 16S ribosomal RNA". It matches the Rfam family "Bacterial small subunit ribosomal RNA", at positions 338 to 795 of the family's 1533-position model. The record is from RNAcentral.
CCUACGGGAGGCAGCAGUGAGGAAUAUUGGUCAAUGGACGCAAGCCUGAACCAGCCAAGUAGCGUGCAGGAUGACGGCCCUCCGGGUUGUAAACUGCUUUUAGUUGGGAAUAAAAGGGGGCUCGUGAGCCCCGUAUCGUAUGUACCAUCAGAAAAAGGACCGGCUAAUUCCGGGCCAGCAGCCGCGGUAAUACGGAAGGUCCGGGCGUUAUCCGGAUUUAUUGGGUUUAAAGGGAGCGUAGGUGGAUUGUUAAGUCAGUUGUGAAAGUUUGCGGCUCAACCGUAAAAUUGCAGUUGAAACUGGCAGUCUUGAGUACAGUAGAGGUGGGCGGAAUUCGUGGUGUAGCGGUGAAAUGCUUAGAUAUCACGAAGAACUCCGAUUGCGAAGGCAGUUCACUGGAGUGCAACUGACGCUGAGGCUCGAAAGUGUGGGUAUCAAACAGGAUUAGAUACCCCAGUAGUC